AUGGUCUGGGACACAUUCCUAAAGGUUUGGGAAUGGUCUGGGAUGUGUCCUAAAGGUUUGGGAUUGGUCUGGGAGGUGUCCUAAAGGUUUGGGAAUGGUCUGGGAGCUGUCCUAAAGGUUUGGGAAGGGUCUGGGAUGUGUCCCAAAGGUUUGGGAAGAGUCUGGGAGGUGUCCUAAAGGUUUGGGAAUGGUCUGGGACGUGUCCCUAAAGGUCUGGGAAGGGUCUGGGAUGUGUCCCUAAAGGUUUGGGAAUGGUCAGGGACACAUCCCUAAAGGUCUGGGAAUGGUCUGGGAUGUGUCCCUAAAGGUCUGGGAAGGGUCUGGGAUGUGUCCCUAAAGGUUUGGGAAUGGUCUGGGAUGUGUCCCUAAAGGUUUGGGAAUGGUCUGGGAGGUGUCCCUAAAGGUUUGGGAAUGGUCUGGGAUGUGUCCCUAAAGGUUUGGGAAUGGUCUGGGAGGUGUCCCUAAAGGUUUGGGAGUGGUCUGGUAUGUGUCCCUAAAGGUUUGGGAAUGGUCUGGGAUGUUUCCCAAAGGUUUGGAAAGCUGGUCAGUGAGAGGUCAGAAAUGCGGAAUUUUCCCCAAAUGUGGAUUUCUCCCUGAUCCCUGCAGGUUUGAGCUGGUCAGUGAGGGGUCAGAAAUGCGGAAUUUCCCCAAAAUGUGGGAUUUCCCCCAAAAUGUGGGUGGGAUAU
Serinus canaria (Common canary) is the source of this 686-nucleotide long non-coding RNA. RefSeq lists it as uncharacterized. The record is from RefSeq and is a predicted model, not a curated record. Lineage: Eukaryota; Metazoa; Chordata; Aves; Passeriformes; Fringillidae. The transcript has 3 exons.